CCUACGGGGGGCUGCAGUGGGGAAUAUUGGACAAUGGGGGCAACCCUGAUCCAGCCAUGCCGCGUGUGUGAAGAAGGCCCUCGGGUUGUAAAGCACUUUCAGUGAGGAAGAACGCCUGGUGGUUAAUACCCAUCAGGAAAGACAUCACUCACAGAAGAAGCACCGGCUAACUCCGUGCCAGCAGCCGCGGUAAUACGGAGGGUGCGAGCGUUAAUCGGAAUUACUGGGCGUAAAGCGCGCGUAGGUGGCUUGAUAAGCCGGUUGUGAAAGCCCCGGGCUCAACCUGGGAACGGCAUCCGGAACUGUCAAGCUAGAGUGCAGGAGAGGAAGGUAGAAUUCCCGGUGUAGCGGUGAAAUGCGUAGAGAUCGGGAGGAAUACCAGUGGCGAAGGCGGCCUUCUGGACUGACACUGACACUGUGGUGCGAAAGCGUGGGUAGCAAACAGGAUUAGAUACCCUAGUAGUC
Molecule: ribosomal RNA, 465 nt
Filed under: Vreelandella stevensii
Lineage: Bacteria; Pseudomonadati; Pseudomonadota; Gammaproteobacteria; Oceanospirillales; Halomonadaceae
Description: partial 16S ribosomal RNA
Rfam family: Bacterial small subunit ribosomal RNA
Source: RNAcentral